Molecule: ribosomal RNA, 555 nt
Filed under: Proteus mirabilis
Lineage: Bacteria; Pseudomonadati; Pseudomonadota; Gammaproteobacteria; Enterobacterales; Morganellaceae
Description: partial 23S ribosomal RNA
Rfam family: Bacterial large subunit ribosomal RNA
Source: RNAcentral
AUAGGGGAGCCGUAGGGAAACCGAGUCUUAACUGGGCGAAUGAGUUGCAGGGUAUAGACCCGAAACCCGGUGAUCUAUCCAUGGGCAGGUUGAAGGUUGGGUAACACUAACUGGAGGACCGAACCGACUAAUGUUGAAAAAUUAGCGGAUGACUUGUGGAUGGGGGUGAAAGGCCAAUCAAACCGGGAGAUAGCUGGUUCUCCCCGAAAGCUAUUUAGGUAGCGCCUCGUGAACUCAUCUUCGGGGGUAGAGCACUGUUUCGACUAGGGGGUCAUCCCGACUUACCAACUCGAUGCAAACUGCGAAUACCGAAGAAUGUUAUCACGGGAGACACACGGCGGGUGCUAACGUCCGUCGUGAAGAGGGAAACAACCCAGACCGCCAGCUAAGGUCCCAAAGUCAUGGUUAAGUGGGAAACGAAGUGGGAAGGCUCAGACAGCCAGGAUGUUGGCUUAGAAGCAGCCAUCAUUUAAAGAAAGCGUAAUAGCUCACUGGUCGAGUCGGCCCGCGCGGAAGAUGUAACGGGGCUAAACCAUGCACCGAAGCUGCGGCAGC